GCCCCGGGCCAGGGCCGAAGCUGCAGCGGUGGUGGCAACAGCAUCAGCUGUUGCUAAGGAAGCUGAGAAUGCAGGGUGGGGGCCGGAGAGUGGGCAGCAACCCAGCAGGGCAGCACCCCCCAUGCAUGUCUGAGCACCUUGGGCCCUGGAAACGGUGUUCCCAGCUGGCUGCCAUGGCAACAGCAGGCUUCGGAGCCAUUCAUCUCGGUCUGGACAGCUUCCCCUACUCGCACUAGCGCUUUGUCUCCCUAAGUGGCUAACUGAGGUGUGAAAGGGUCUGUGGUGAGUGGACAAAGGAGCACAAAGGGCAAAAGAUGAGGAAAUGGAGGCUUCAAGGUCAAACCCCUUGCCCAGAGACAUGCAGCAGAAAGUGAUGAAGCUGAGAUUUGAACUUGCACCUGUCUGCCUGCAAAUCCCAUCUCUUCCUGCUGUGCCAGAGACAGCAGAAGGGCCCACGGCUGUGUAGAUGUGGCCUAUUAGCCUCUCAAGUCUAGAGCAAGCCCCUCAGUGUGGGGCCCCUCCCUAGCCGCACUUCCUGCCACACCUGUCCUUCAAGCAGCCGCCUUUCUUUAGAACCCCACGUCUACUGUGGUGAUCACUCUGCAUAGCUGCUUUAGAAACAUAUGAAGAUAACAGAAGGAUCUCAUCUGCAACCCAGAGCUCUCUGUGCCUGGUGGUGACUCCCAAGAAGCUCCCAUAAGGAAGAGGUCCCUCAAAGAACACACUGAACACAGUGGACCCUCUGCUGCCAAAACAGGCAGGGAAGCAUCUCCUGGAGCCUGCUUGGUCAGCUCUGCUCUCAGAAGCUUGGAGGGCAAACGGGGGUGACUGGACCCAGCUGGAAUAAUGGAAAGAAUGGGAACUAGCACUUAGAAGCACCUACUGUGUUCCAGAAAUUCUGGUGCAUUUAUCUGUGUAGCCUUCAAAAUAGCUCUGUUGGGUUGAUAGUAUUUUUGCCCCAUGUUAUGGUAUAAGAAACUGAGUUCAGAGAGGUUAGGUAACUUGAAUCAGGCCAUAAAGCACUUAAGCCCAAACUUAA
Molecule: long non-coding RNA, 1039 nt
Organism: Homo sapiens (human)
Lineage: Eukaryota; Metazoa; Chordata; Mammalia; Primates; Hominidae
Product: long intergenic non-protein coding RNA 2730
Source: Ensembl